AGUGGACCUCGGGUGAUGCUCCCUGGAAUUGGGCUCCUUCCUCUCUGGUCCUGGGUGCAUCAUCGGAGAACCACA
This is a non-coding RNA of Myotis brandtii (Brandt's bat), 75 nucleotides long. Lineage: Eukaryota; Metazoa; Chordata; Mammalia; Chiroptera; Vespertilionidae. The record is from Rfam.